GAUGAACGCUGGCGGCGUGCCUAAUACAUGCAAGUCGAGCGAACAGACGAGGAGCUUGCUCCUCUGACGUUAGCGGCGGACGGGUGAGUAACACGUGGAUAACCUUCCUAUAAGACUGGGAUAACUUCGGGAAACCGGAGCUAAUACCGGAUAAUAUAUUGAACCGCAUGGUUCAAUAGUGAAAGACGGUUUUGCUGUCACUUAUAGAUGGAUCCGCGCCGCAUUAGCUAGUUGGUAAGGUAACGGCUUACCAAGGCGACGAUGCGUAGCCGACCUGAGAGGGUGAUCGGCCACACUGGAACUGAGACACGGUCCAGACUCCUACGGGAGGCAGCAGUAGGGAAUCUUCCGCAAUGGGCGAAAGCCUGACGGAGCAACGCCGCGUGAGUGAUGAAGGUCUUCGGAUCGUAAAACUCUGUUAUUAGGGAAGAACAAAUGUGUAAGUAACUAUGCACGUCUUGACGGUACCUAAGCAGAAAGCCACGGCUAACUACGU
Molecule: ribosomal RNA, 496 nt
Filed under: uncultured bacterium
Lineage: Bacteria
Description: partial 16S ribosomal RNA
Rfam family: Bacterial small subunit ribosomal RNA
Source: RNAcentral